Molecule: ribosomal RNA, 210 nt
Filed under: uncultured bacterium
Lineage: Bacteria
Description: partial 16S ribosomal RNA
Rfam family: Bacterial small subunit ribosomal RNA
Source: RNAcentral
UACGGAGGGUGCGAGCGUUGUCCGGAAUCACUGGGCGUAAAGGGCGCGUAGGUGGCGCGGGCAGUCAACGGUGAAAGUUCGGGGCUCAACCCCGAAUCGGCCGUCGAUACUCCCGGGCUUGAGCACUGUAGAGGCUAAUGGAAUUCCGGGUGUAGCGGUGGAAUGCGUAGAGAUCCGGAAGAACACCGGUGGCGAAGGCGGUUAGCUGGG